Lepidothrix coronata (blue-crowned manakin) is the source of this 624-nucleotide long non-coding RNA. RefSeq lists it as uncharacterized. The transcript is spliced from 3 exons. NCBI's taxonomy places the organism in Eukaryota, Metazoa, Chordata, Aves, Passeriformes, Pipridae. The record is from RefSeq and is a predicted model, not a curated record.
AGGCAGAGAGCGUGACUUUAGGUUUGGUGCAGCCCCAGGCACGUUCUGGUCACCCGUCAGGUCCAUCAUACCAACCACCAGCACUUGGAAGGUCUUCUAAUGAGUCAAACUUUCAGCAGAUCCUCCUGAGGCUCUGGGGCUGUGAAUGCUUCAAGGUAUCUCUUGGUCACAAUGAAAAGCUGUCACCAUGCACCUCUGGACUACCAAGAGGCUGAUGGGAUGGCCUGACCUGCUGUCCAGCUCCACUGGUGGCACAGCCAUGACCUCCAGUGACCAUCAGAGGCACCUCAGCAGCACUGGUGAGAGGGACAGCAGCUCCUCUGGGCCUGUCUGAUAGAUGGAUGCUGCACAGAAAUGAGAGCUGGUCUGAAUUCCAGCCUCCUGGUUCCCUCCCUUCAAAGCCCUGUCUGUGUUGAAGAAUGGAGGUGGCACAUCUUGGCCAGACCCAAAGGAGGGCAUGGAGGGGCUUUGUCGCUUAUUUUGCUGCAGAGGAGUUUGAAGUUCUCCAUUUCCUGGGUGUGCUACAGGAGCAGCAGAGUUGAGACACAGGCUUUUAAUGAAGUUUAUGUAAAUUUGGUGGUGUUUAUACUUAGCAGAACAGAUUUAGGAGUACUAAUAAAGCAG